UACCUGGUUGAUCCUGCCAGUAAUCAUAUGCUUGUCUCAAAGAUUAAGCCAUGCAUGUCUAAGUACAUGCCGAAAUAAGGCGAAACCGCGAAUGGCUCAUUAAAUCAGUUAUGGUUCCUUAGAUCGUUUCUUCCUACUUGGAUAACUGUGGCAAUUCUAGAGCUAAUACAUGCAGUGAGCCUGAAGCCCUUUGGGCGACGGGUGCUUUUAUUAGACCAAGAUCGAUCGGGUUUCGGCCCGUAUUGUGUGGUGACUCUGGAUAACUUUGUGCUGAUCGCAUGGCCACGAGCCGGCGACGUUUCUUUCAAGUGUCUGCUUAUCAACUUUCGAUGGUAGGUUACUUGCUUACCAUGGUUGUUACGGGUAACGGAGAAUCAGGGUUCGAUUCCGGAGAGGGAGCCUGAAGAAACGGCUACCACAUCCAAGGAAGGCAGCAGGCGCGCAAAUUACCCACUCCCGGCACGGGAGGUAGUGACGAAAAAUAACAAUACGGGACUCUUUUGAGGCCCCGUAAUUGAAAUGAGUACACUCUAAAUCCUUUAACGAGGAUCAAUUGGAGGGGCAAGUCUGGUGCCAGCAGCCGCGGUAAUUCCAGCUCCAAUAGCGUAUACUAAAGCUGCUGCGGUUAAAAAGCUCGUAGUUGGAUCUCAGUUCCAGACGAGUAGUGCAUCUACCCCGAUGCGACGGCUCGGACUGAACAUCAUGCCGGUCCUUUCUUGGUGCACUUCAUUGUGUGCCUCGAGAAGGCCGGUGCUUUUACUUUGAAAAAAUUAGAGUGCUCAACGCAGGCGAGUCGCCUGAAUAAACUUGCAUGGAAUAAUAGAACAAGACCUCGUUUCUGUUCUGUUGGUUUUUGGAAUACGAGGUAAUGAUUAAGAGGGACAGACGGGGGCAUUCGUAUUGCGGCGCUAGAGGUGAAAUUCUGGACCGUCGCAAGACGAACUACUGCGAAAGCAUUUGCCAAGAAUGUUUUCUUUGAUCAAGAACGAAAGUCAGAGGUUCGAAGGCGAUCAGAUACCGCCCUAGUUCUGACCAUAAACGAUGCCAACCAGCGAUCCCGCCUGAGUUACUCAAAUGACUCGGCGGGCAGCUUCCGGGAAACCAAAGUGUUUGGGUUCCGGGGGAAGUAUGGUUUGCAAAGCUGAAACUUAAAGGAAUUGACGGAAGGGCACCACCAGGAGUGGAGCCUGCGGCUUAAUUUGACUCAACACGGGAAAACUUACCCGGCCCGGACACUGGGAGGAUUGACAGAUUGAGAGCUCUUUCUUGAUUCGGAUUGACAGAUUGAGAGCUCUUUCUUGAUUCGGUGGAUGGUGGUGCAUGGCCGUUCUUAGUUGGUGGAGCGAUUUGUCUGGUUAAUUCCGAUAACGAACGAGACUCUAGCCUAUUAAAUAGGUGCGGGGUUCCCAGCACCUUACAACCUUCUUAGAGGGACAAGCGGCUCCUAGCCGCACGAAACAGAGCAAUAACAGGUCUGUGAUGCCCUUAGAUGUCCGGGGCCGCACGCGCGCUACACUGAAGGAAGCAGCGUGUCUUUAUCCCUGUCUGAAAGGACUGGGUAACCCGUGGAACUUCUUUCGUGAUUGGGAUAGGGGCUUGCAAUUGUUCCCCUUGAACGAGGAAUUCCCAGUAAGCGCGAGUCAUAAGCUCGCGUUGAUUACGUCCCUGCCCUUUGUACACACCGCCCGUCGCUACUACCGAUUGAAUGAUUUAGUGAGGUCUUCGGACCGAUGUCCGGCGCGGCCUUUCGGUUGCGCCGGUCUGUUGGAAAGAUGACCAAACUUGAUCAUUUAGAGGAAGUAAAAGUCGUAACAAGGUUUCCGUAGGUGAACCUGCGGAAGGAUCAUUA
Molecule: non-coding RNA, 1849 nt
Organism: Dermacentor andersoni
Lineage: Eukaryota; Metazoa; Arthropoda; Arachnida; Ixodida; Ixodidae
Source: RefSeq, a predicted model, not a curated record